GUGUGUUUAUUUUACUGGGUGUGUGUAAUGUUUAUUCAGUAAAUCUCUGUUAGUAUGUGAACUUUCCCAAACCAUCCGUGAGAUGUAAUGUCUUCAGCGGGUCCUGGGUCUGCCCUGAGCUCUCCACUAACAUGUGCCUGGUACAUGUUAGAUAACAAGAACCUUAAUUAUACACUCCCCUCCGAAACUAUUGGAACGGCAAGGCCAGAUCGUUUUGUUUUUGCUGUAGACCGAAGACAUUUGGGUUUGAGAUCACAAGAUGAAUAUGAGAAGAGAGGUUAGAAUUUCAGCUUCUAUUUCCUGGUAUUUAUACGUAGACGUGUUAAACGACACAGAACACAGCACGCUUUGUAUCAGAACACCCGAUUUGUAGGCGAAAAAAAAAAUGUGACUGACAGGUGUUUCUUGUUACCCAGGUGUGUCCUGUUAGAUUGAUUAAACUAUAAAAAGCUCUGAACAGCUACAAUUGCUUUUAGCCUUCAGUUUCACCUGUGAAGAAUGCAUUUGUUGACCCAUGAAGAUCCGUGAGCUGUCUAUGGGAGAAAAGCGAGUCAUUUUGAAGAUGAGAAAAGUGGGAAACACAAUCAGAUUACAGAAUCAUUACAGUCAUUACUGAAACAUCGGGUGUAACCAAUACGACGAUUUGGAAUGUCCUGAAAAAGAAAGAAAACGCUGGUGUACUGAGGAUCAGACACCGAACGGGUCGGAUAAGGAAAAAAACAACAGGUGAUGAUAGAAACAUUGUGAGAGCUGUGAAGAAAACCCCAAAACAACAGUCAGUGACAUCACCAACAACCUCCACAGGGCAGGGUGAAGGUCUCACAAUCCACCGCUCGAAGAAGACUUCGAGAGCAGAAAUUUAGAGGCCGUACCACAAGAUUGAAACCACUCAUCAGCAGUAAGAAUCAGAAAGUCAGAUUGUAAUUCACAAAGAAAUACUGAGAUGAUCCACAAAAGUUCUGGAACAAAGAUGAACCUCUACCAAAGUGAUGGAAAGUCCAAAGUGUGGAGAAAGAAAGGAUCUGCUCAUGAUCCAGAACGUACAAGCUGAUCUGUGGAACAUGGUGGAGGUAGCGUCAUGGCUUGGGCUUGCACGGCUGCUUCUGGAACGUUCUCCCUGAUCUUUAUUGAUGAUGAACUCAUGAUGGAGCAGCAGAAUGAAUUCAGACGUUUACAGGAACAUUUUAUCUGCAGAUUUACAGAGAAACGCAUCCGAAUGAAUCAGGAGGAACUUCAUCAUGCAGCGAGACAACGAUCCAAAACACACUUCCACCUCGACACAGGACUUCAUCAGGGGAAA
Long non-coding RNA from Ictalurus punctatus (channel catfish), 1300 nucleotides. Lineage: Eukaryota; Metazoa; Chordata; Actinopteri; Siluriformes; Ictaluridae. The record is from Ensembl.